Molecule: long non-coding RNA, 330 nt
Organism: Zonotrichia leucophrys gambelii
Lineage: Eukaryota; Metazoa; Chordata; Aves; Passeriformes; Passerellidae
Exons: 3
Source: RefSeq, a predicted model, not a curated record
CAGAUGAAAAGAACCAAAGAAUUUAAGAUUUUGCCCUGAAGUUAAAGGAUGUGGGUGUUUUGACCCAGCAGCUUCUGGUUUGUUGAAACCAUGAGAAAAAUUUUGAGCAAGAUUGAAAAGUUACACCCUAGAGACAACAUUGAAGCCUGGGCCAUUCUUGCUGUGUGCAUAUACAUAACACCAUCAAAAGCUGCCAGCUUUGCCCCAAAAAGGAAAUGAACCUCUGGUACUGAAUUGUGUUGCAGUGCAUUGUAUUUCAUCUGUUAAUCUCAAACUGCCCCGAGAAUGGCUCAGUGUGUCAGGAGAGGCUUUCCUGGUGCUUCAGAUCUG